GAAACUGACGGAACUCUUCGGAGGGAAGGCAGUGGAAUGAGCGGCGGACGGGUGAGUAACACGUAAGGAACCUGCCUCAAGGAUUGGGAUAACUCCGAGAAAUCGGAGCUAAUACCGGAUAGUUCAACGGACCGCAUGGUCCGCUGAUGAAAGGCGCUCCGGCGUCACCUUGAGAUGGCCUUGCGGUGCAUUAGCUAGUUGGUGGGGUAACGGCCCACCAAGGCGACGAUGCAUAGCCGACCUGAGAGGGUGAUCGGCCACACUGGGACUGAGACACGGCCCAGACUCCUACGGGAGGCAGCAGUAGGGAAUCUUCCACAAUGGACGAAAGUCUGAUGGAGCAACGCCGCGUGAGUGAUGAAGGUUUUCGGAUCGUAAAACUCUGUUGUAAGGGAAGAACACGUA
This 405-nucleotide ribosomal RNA is filed under the name Exiguobacterium sp. '4.1 MW-17'. Its description in RNAcentral is "bacterial SSU rRNA". It matches the Rfam family "Bacterial small subunit ribosomal RNA", at positions 64 to 455 of the family's 1533-position model. The record is from RNAcentral. Lineage: Bacteria; Bacillati; Bacillota; Bacilli; Caryophanales.